RNAcentral lists this transfer RNA (78 nucleotides) under Candidatus Pacearchaeota archaeon. RNAcentral's name for it is "tRNA-Glu". It matches the Rfam family "tRNA". Rfam says of the family: Transfer RNA (tRNA) molecules are approximately 80 nucleotides in length. Their secondary structure includes four short double-helical elements and three loops (D, anti-codon, and T loops). The record is from RNAcentral. Lineage: Archaea; Nanobdellati.
GGAGCUGUAGUGUAGGCUGGUCCAGCAUCCAAGGCUUUCGACCUUGGGACGAGGGUUCAAAUCCCUCCAGCUCUGCCA